CAGUCGCCACGGUAAUACGGAGGGGGCUAGCGUUGUUCGGGAUUACUGGGCGUAAAGCGUGCGUAGGCGGUUCGUUAAGUCUGUUGUGAAAGCCCCGGGCUCAACCUGGGAAUGGCAAUGGAUACUGGCGAGCUAGAGUGUGUCAGAGGAUGGUGGAAUUCCCGGUGUAGCGGUGAAAUGCGUAGAUAUCGGAAGGAACACCUGUGGCGAAAGCGGCUCACUGGACCAUAACUGACGCUGAUGCACGAAAGCUAGGGGAGCAAACAGGAUUAGAUACCCGCGUAGUCCCUGUCUCUUAUAA
RNAcentral lists this ribosomal RNA (301 nucleotides) under uncultured bacterium. Its description in RNAcentral is "partial 16S ribosomal RNA". It matches the Rfam family "Bacterial small subunit ribosomal RNA", at positions 509 to 809 of the family's 1533-position model. The record is from RNAcentral.